The sequence is a small nuclear RNA, 110 nucleotides long. Its record names the gene U2. It matches the Rfam family "U2 spliceosomal RNA". Rfam says of the family: U2 is a small nuclear RNA (snRNA) component of the spliceosome (involved in pre-mRNA splicing). Complementary binding between U2 snRNA (in an area lying towards the 5' end but 3' to hairpin I) and the branchpoint sequence (BPS) of the intron results the bulging out of an unpaired adenosine, on the BPS, which initiates a nucleophilic attack at the intronic 5' splice site, thus starting the first of two transesterification reactions that mediate splicing. The record is from Ensembl.
UUCACUUCUUAGCCUUUUGGCUAAGAUCAAGUGUAUUAUCAGUUAUUAUCAGUAAAAGAUUUUAUCACAAGAAAAUUGGCAACUAUGUGAGGUUAUGGAUAUUAACUAAA